CGAACGAAGAAGUAGAAGAAGACAGUAGGCAAGCGGCCGCCGACAUUGUUGCUUUAUUUUGGGGUCGUGUUUAGGGAAUCAGGGGUAAAACGAAACACCAACGCACAGGCGAGAGCUGCGACCACAAAAAAGCGGGCCAAAUCCAAAGCGACCGCGGAAAACGGGCCAUUUUUUGCUGCGUGUGUGUUUCUGAGUCGUAAAAGUGGACGUUUUGUGAUUUUGUGAUAUUUGGUGAAUUGUGCAAACGUUUUCGAAUGAAAAUACGCCGAAACUUCAAUUAAACGCGCCAAUGAAAAUGUAGAAAAAGCGAACGCGCACAGCACGGACGAAGGCGAACAAUGAAAUGAAGAAGACGACGAAAAAGACCUCGGCUUGCUAGACAAAGACGGGGCUAUUAUCCAGCAAAGAAAUUAACAAUUCAAACACAUAUAGAUCGUCGUGUACAAUCAACUAUCCAUCUACCGAGUCUCCACUGUACACACCUCCCAGAGCGGACAUUAAACCGCAAGAGCAGCUCACAAUGGAAGCGCUUUGUUGUCGUCGGCGUUAUCAAUUAAAUGUAAAGCGCGGCGCAGCGCAAACGAAAUGGAAAUGAAAAUGGCAGCCGUGAGAUACGCCACUCACACAGAUACUAUGUACAGAUACUUACUCGUAUGUUCGUAUGUGCUGCACACGUUUACAAAAGUUUGUUAUUAUUAUAUUUGCGAUGAGCGGAAAUGCCAAUUGAAGCUACCUUUAACAAAGCCCCAUGAAGAUGCCCGCCCCCGGGGUUAACUACUGAUGGACUGACGGACUGACGGACGGACGGAUGGACGGAUGGACAGACUGUGUGCAUGACUCAAGUGUUUUUCAGGGGAGCCACUCGAGCCGAAGCUGAAAAUUGAUUGAUUCCACUAAGCGAAUGGGCCGCGCACAUGGAAAUGGAAGCU
Molecule: non-coding RNA, 929 nt
Organism: Drosophila melanogaster (fruit fly)
Lineage: Eukaryota; Metazoa; Arthropoda; Insecta; Diptera; Drosophilidae
Source: Ensembl